AACGAACGCUGGCGGCGCGCCUAAUACAUGCAAGUCGAACGCGAAAGUCCCCUUCGGGGGACAAGUAGAGUGGCGCACGGGUGAGUAACACGUAGGUAAUCUACCUUCGGAUGGGGAAUAACAAUCGGAAACGGUUGCUAAUACCGCAUAAUGCAGCGGCACCUAAUGGUGACAGUUGUUAAAGCGGGGGAUCGAAAGACCUCGCGUCUGAAGAGGAGCCUGCGGCGGAUUAGCUAGUGGUAAGGUAAUGGCUUACCAAGGCGACGAUCCGUAACCGGCCUGAGAGGGCGGUCGGGUCACACUGACACUGACAUACGGGUCAGACUCCUACGGGAGGCAGCAGUCGGAAUUUUGGGCAAUGGGCGAAAGCCUGACCCAGCAACGCCGCGUGAAGGAUGAAAUCCCUCGGGAUGUAAACUUCGCAAGAACGGGAAGAAUAAGUAGGGGACAAUACCCCCUAUGAUGACGGUACCGUUUGUAAGCCCGGCUAACUCCGUGCC
This 500-nucleotide ribosomal RNA is filed under the name uncultured bacterium. Its description in RNAcentral is "bacterial SSU rRNA". It matches the Rfam family "Bacterial small subunit ribosomal RNA", at positions 29 to 509 of the family's 1533-position model. The record is from RNAcentral.